RNAcentral lists this ribosomal RNA (1383 nucleotides) under uncultured bacterium. Its description in RNAcentral is "16S ribosomal RNA". It matches the Rfam family "Bacterial small subunit ribosomal RNA", at positions 19 to 1397 of the family's 1533-position model. The record is from RNAcentral.
CUGGCUCAGGAUGAACGCUAGCUACAGGCUUAACACAUGCAAGUCGAGGGGCAGCAUUUCAGUUUGCUUGCAAACUGGAGAUGGCGACCGGCGCACGGGUGAGUAACACGUAUCCAACCUGCCGAUAACUCGGGGAUAGCCUUUCGAAAGAAAGAUUAAUACCCGAUGGUAUAAUCAGACCGCAUGGUCUUGUUAUUAAAGAAUUUCGGUUAUCGAUGGGGAUGCGUUCCAUUAGGCAGUUGGUGAGGUAACGGCUCACCAAACCUUCGAUGGAUAGGGGUUCUGAGAGGAAGGUCCCCCACAUUGGAACUGAGACACGGUCCAAACUCCUACGGGAGGCAGCAGUGAGGAAUAUUGGUCAAUGGGCGCAGGCCUGAACCAGCCAAGUAGCGUGAAGGAUGACUGCCCUAUGGGUUGUAAACUUCUUUUAUAUGGGAAUAAAGUUUUCCACGUGUGGAAUUUUGUAUGUACCAUAUGAAUAAGGAUCGGCUAACUCCGUGCCAGCAGCCGCGGUAAUACGGAGGAUCCGAGCGUUAUCCGGAUUUAUUGGGUUUAAAGGGAGCGUAGGUGGACAGUUAAGUCAGUUGUGAAAGUUUGCGGCUCAACCGUAAAAUUGCAGUUGAUACUGGCUGUCUUGAGUACAGUAGAGGUGGGCGGAAUUCGUGGUGUAGCGGUGAAAUGCUUAGAUAUCACGAAGAACUCCGAUUGCGAAGGCAGCUCACUGGACUGCAACUGACACUGAUGCUCGAAAGUGUGGGUAUCAAACAGGAUUAGAUACCCUGGUAGUCCACACAGUAAACGAUGAAUACUCGCUGUUUGCGAUAUACAGUAAGCGGCCAAGCGAAAGCAUUAAGUAUUCCACCUGGGGAGUACGCCGGCAACGGUGAAACUCAAAGGAAUUGACGGGGGCCCGCACAAGCGGAGGAACAUGUGGUUUAAUUCGAUGAUACGCGAGGAACCUUACCCGGGCUUAAAUUGCAUUUGAAUAUAUUGGAAACAGUAUAGCCGUAAGGCAAAUGUGAAGGUGCUGCAUGGUUGUCGUCAGCUCGUGCCGUGAGGUGUCGGCUUAAGUGCCAUAACGAGCGCACCCUUAUCUUUAGUUACUAACAGGUCAUGCUGAGGACUCUAGAGAGACUGCCGUCGUAAGAUGUGAGGAAGGUGGGGAUGACGUCAAAUCAGCACGGCCCUUACGUCCGGGGCUACACACGUGUUACAAUGGGGGGUACAGAAGGCAGCUACCUGGUGACAGGAUGCUAAUCCCAAAAGCCUCUCUCAGUUCGGAUCGAAGUCUGCAACCCGACUUCGUGAAGCUGGAUUCGCUAGUAAUCGCGCAUCAGCCAUGGCGCGGUGAAUACGUUCCCGGGCCUUGCACACACCGCCCGU